CAGAGACCAGAUCAUCUAAUUGUCCUGGUGAGCACAAAACUGAAAAUAAAGGAGCCCCUGAUCAGUCACGUGACAGACACCAGUGAUGCUUUUCGGACCCCAUUGACUUGUAAAGGGGUCUGUAAUUUUGUCAUGGUGAACAUAAUUAUGAUGUCAUGGUUUCUGGACAAAAUGAUGGACUAUGCAACAGAGGUUCUGAAUGGAGUACCCAAUGCAGAUUGAGCUGCUAGUGUAGAUCAAGAGGGUCAAAUAUGGAUAAUGGCAGUGAAGAACUGGAUAAACUUCAGAUUCUAAAUCCCAUGUGUAACUAUGGCAGGGUUCUUUUGAUGAGAUGUCAUCUGGUUUGAUGGUGAGCUUGAGGUGGUUGCUUCAGAAGGCAUUUGUGGUAUAUCAGAGGCUAGGACUGUCUCCGGGACUCCACAGAACCUUAUAUUGUUUCUCCUUCCAUGGUUCUCCUGGUCUUCCAGUGCUGUGUGGACCAUAUUAAGGAUUGGGUGCCCAGUUAAGAUCUCUCCAAGAGGACUAGUUUGUCCAAGGACACCUAGAUGUCCCACAAUGCUUCUGGGAAAACACUCUAUCACAACCUUUGGCUUAUUGCGCUAGGAAUGGCAUUUUCUUCUCCUACCUUCAGAAUGGAGAACAUGAGCAGCCCUGCAUGUCAAAUCUGACAGAACUGCUGACAUAGACUCCACAUUUUGUUAACAUUUAUAACUGCUUUCUUCGGGAGAACACGGCUGGAGCUUGGCUUGAAGAGAAACCUGUAGGAGACAGCAGUGUCACCACACAUCAGGACUGCAAGUGAAAAUUCACAUGAGAAAUUUUUGAAAACUAAUGACACUCGUACAGAAAAGCAAGACAAUGUUGACCUCUGAGAUGAAGAUAAACUAUUUUGUUGCAGAAAUUUUUGAGACUGAAAAUCAGUUCCCUUCAAUUCAAUGGCGUUAUUUUGGCGGCAAGCACAUAGCAAGCCCCAUUCAGAUGAACAGAACAAAAUCUGCCAUGUGUGAAGGCACCCCUAGAGAAGUGACACACGCAGUUUUUUUGCGUAAGUUUUUGCGUCAGUUUUAGGUGCCAGAAGUGGAUCCAGCAGGAAGGAAGGAGAAGUACAAGUCCUUACUUUAAUAUUUCUCAUCCUCUCUCAUUCCUCUUCUGGCUAUGGUUCAAAAAACUGCCUAAAAAACUGUGAGUGAUGCCCCCAGAGUGUAUAAAUGGAGCACACCCUGCAAGGAUAUGAGGGUGUAUGGGAGGUUGAAUGUCCAGACAGUUUUCAGCUGGAAGUUUAAUAAUCUUUCUGGGAUCAGUUCUAUUAGGCCUCAUGCACACGAACGUAUUUUUUAACGUCCCGCAAAACGUGGUUCCGUUGU
Molecule: long non-coding RNA, 1364 nt
Organism: Bufo gargarizans (Asiatic toad)
Lineage: Eukaryota; Metazoa; Chordata; Amphibia; Anura; Bufonidae
Exons: 6
Source: RefSeq, a predicted model, not a curated record